AGAGUUUGAUCCUGGCUCAGAACGAACGCUGGCGGCAGGCUUAACACAUGCAAGUCGAACGCGUGUAGCAAUACACGAGUGGCGCACGGGUGAGUAACGCGUGGAUAUCUGCCUUUUGGUUCGGAAUAACCCCGGGAAACUGGGGCUAAUACCGGAUGGUUCCUUCGGGAUAAAGAUUUAUCGCCAAAAGAUGAGUCCGCGUCCGAUUAGCUAGUUGGCGGGGUAAUGGCCCACCAAGGCAACGAUCGGUAGCUGGUCUGAGAGGACGAUCAGCCACACUGGGACUGAGACACGGCCCAGACUCCUACGGGAGGCAGCAGUGGGGAAUAUUGGACAAUGGGGGCAACCCUGAUCCAGCCAUGCCGCGUGAGUGAUGAAGGCCUUCGGGUUGUAAAGCUCUUUUGGCGGGGACGAUGAUGACGGUACCCGCAGAAUAAGCCCCGGCUAACUUCGUGCCAGCAGCCGCGGUAAGACGAAGGGGGCUAGCGUUGUUCGGAAUUACUGGGCGUAAAGCGCGUGUAGGCGGUUGCCCGAGUCGGGUGUGAAAGCCUUGAGCUCAACUCAAGAAAUGCACUCGAUACUGGGUGACUAGAGGACCGGAGAGGAUAGUGGAAUUCCCAGUGUAGUGGUGAAAUACGUAGAGAUUGGGAAGAACACCAGUGGCGAAGGCGGCUAUCUGGACGGUUUCUGACGCUAAGACGCGAAAGCGUGGGGAGCAAACAGGAUUAGAUACCCUAGUAGUCC
Molecule: ribosomal RNA, 744 nt
Filed under: uncultured bacterium
Lineage: Bacteria
Description: bacterial SSU rRNA
Rfam family: Bacterial small subunit ribosomal RNA
Source: RNAcentral